Molecule: ribosomal RNA, 171 nt
Filed under: Cytobacillus firmus
Lineage: Bacteria; Bacillati; Bacillota; Bacilli; Caryophanales; Bacillaceae
Description: partial 16S ribosomal RNA
Rfam family: Bacterial small subunit ribosomal RNA
Source: RNAcentral
UUAUAUGGAGAGUUUGAUCCUGGCUCAGGACGAACGCUGGCGGCGUGCCUAAUACAUGCAAGUCGAGCGGACGGAUGGGAGCUUGCUCCCAGACCGUCAGCGGCGGACGGGUGAGUAACACGUGGGCAACCUGCCUGUAAGACUGGGAUAACUCCGGGAAACCGGGGCUAA